UAAAGGUUUUAUUUUGGCUAAAUAAUUUAUUGUUAUUAUAUUUUAUAUGUAAGUUUGUGCAUGAAUUAUUUAUAUUUUUAAUAAAUAUAAAUUAUUUUUAUUCGCAGUAUUUAGUUUUAAUUAUUAAAGAAAUUUAGAAUUAGUAAUAAUUAAUAGUAUGGGUUAAUUUUGUGCCAGCAUCCGCGGUUAUACAGGAUAUACAAAUGAAUUUUAUUAUUAUGUAGUUAGUUGAAUUUUUAUAGAUGAGAUUAUAAAUUUUAAGGUGAAAUUUAAAUUUAUAAAAAGUUUAUUAAAAAUUUUUUUGAAGCUAUUAAAAUUUGAAAAUAAACUAGGAUUAGAUACCCUAUUAUUAAAAAUGUAAAUAAGUAAAUAUUUGGUAGUAUUAGUUAUGUUCUUGAAACUAAAAAAAUUUGGCGGUAUUUUAAUCUAUUUAGAGGAACCUGUUCCGUAAUUGAUAGUCCACGGGAGAUUUUACAUAAUUUUAUUUAAUUUGUAUAUCGUCGUUAUAAGGAAAUUUUAUAAGAAUAUAUAAUUUUCUAGAAUUUAUAUUUAAAUAUAUUUCAGAUCAAGGUGCAAUAAAUAAUUAUGAGGAGAUGGGUUACAAUAAAAUUAUUUAUAAUGGAUAAUAAAUUGAAAUAUUUGGUUGAAGGUGGAUUUAAUAGUAAAUUAAAUUAAUUUAUUUAAUUGAUUAUAGUUCUAAAAUAUGCACAUAUCGCCCGUCGCUCUCUUUUUUUAAAAAGAGAUAAGUCGUAACAAAGUAGGUGUACUGGAAAGUGUACCUAGAAUGUU
Molecule: non-coding RNA, 789 nt
Filed under: Platyneuromus soror
Lineage: Eukaryota; Metazoa; Arthropoda; Insecta; Megaloptera; Corydalidae
Source: RNAcentral